RNAcentral lists this long non-coding RNA (930 nucleotides) under Mytilus galloprovincialis (Mediterranean mussel). Lineage: Eukaryota; Metazoa; Mollusca; Bivalvia; Mytilida; Mytilidae. The record is from RNAcentral.
CAGCUCUUUUUCAAGGUGCCAGAGUUUACCCAUUCUGGUUGUUAUAUUGAUCCUAAGACUGUUCAAGUUUCUCCUAAUGCUAAAUUUAAAUUAACUACAGGUAAGACACUUCUAUAAUACAUAUAUCAAAGUAAUCAGAUUGAAUGCUAUUUCUUAAAGAUAUGAAGAAGCAACAAAAGGAAUAUUCAAAUUCAUAAAUUGAAGACAAACCGACAACACUAGAGAAUAAAAGUCAAAUAACCGUUUAUAAAACACAAUAUAGAAAACCAAAGACUGAGCAACGCAAGCAUCACUAAAAAUUAGGGAUGCCUUCAGGUUCUUCAGAAAGUCAAGCGCAAGAAUUCUUUCUAUGCCUGUCCAGAAUUCAUCAAGAUUCAAAAUUAUAUGCAAUUUUAAAUCAUGUCAUUGAAUGAUAAACAUGUGUUAAAAUUUCAUAUGGAUUCAUGAACAUAUAACUGUAUAAUGACAAAUAUUCACAAAACUACCUUUGAACCAACAGUCCAACACAUAAAUGUGCCUGUCCCAACUCAGCGACCCAUUAGGGUCUUUAUUUUUUAUUUUUAAAGUUCACAAACCAUUUGUUAGUAUUAAUUUAAUAGGAGACAACUCCUGCAAAAGGGAGAUAAUUUGUGCUAAAUUUAAGAGGGAAAUAAGAAAAGAUGCAUAUUAUCUCUACAGCUUCAUCAAGAGUCUUGUUUAUAUUGAUUUUUAAUUGUAUUGCAGUUCAAGAAUACAUGACAGCAGAAUACAAAAUAUGGAAUAUCCAUGGUGACAUAUUGACGAGUAAUAUUCCAAUAUCUGUUGGUCAGACUUGAAUAGUUUCUAUGGCAACAGUUAACAACAUUCCAUCUUUUUACAUGAACAAUUUGUGAAUGAAUGACCAAUGGGUUUGUGCAAUAAAACCACAUUUAUGUUAAUUUCUUAUGAUUU